CUAGAAGAGCCCAAUGCAGAACCCAGUCAUCCAAAGAAUAAGUGGCUAUGAUUAUUUUGUAGGAAGAGUUAGCAAGAUCUAUCAGGUUUUUAAUUGACCAUUCCCUUUUAUCUAGCAAUUAUUCCAAUUCUAGGCAUUUAACCUGUAUAAAUAUCACUCAUGUGCAGAGAUAAAAGUCCAAGGGUGUUCACUGCGGUAUUCAUUUAAUGAUGGAAUAUAAAAGCAAUCUGAACACUUAUUAAUAGGGACUGGUUAAAUAAAUUAGGGCCCUCGGCGGCAUGGAAGCUUGGGCAAACUUUAGCAAGAGGGAGGGAGCUCUGCACAUAAAGAAAGCAGAGUGGUUUCCAUUGUGAAACCGAAGUUGCAAAGGCAGCCUUGCCAGCGUCACGUAGAAUGUGUUGAUCUUGCAAAGGCACAUCUCCAUUCAUGUAAAUGCCUAUUGCUGGAAUGGGUGUGUGUGUGUGUGUAUUUAUACAUGUGCGCCACACCUGGAAGACCGUUUCAAACAGUGAUACUCCCAACAAGGACUGUCGUGGGAGGGGUAAUGAGGAAAUUCCACCCUUCACUCUGCACAUUUCUGUGUUAUUUCAAUUGUGUUGCAAACCUAGGCUGGUUUUGCACUGUGUCACUCUUGAUCUGGAGGACACAGUCAAGGAACUUCAGAGCGUCUCUGAACAGCUAACCGUUAGUCUAAAAUGUCUAAAAUGUCUUUGUCCGGGGCUGGCACUUAAAUGGGCCUGCAUCUUCUCCAAGCAUGUAACAUGGGCAAUGAGAAGGGUGACACGGCCCAAAUUCUGCUCCUUGGCAGGAAACUGUGUUUUUCUUUCUGGGAAUUUGUGUGUGCUCUGCACAUCCUUGGUUCUCUGGAAUUCCGGCUCCUCGUGCCCUGGCUGGCUGUUCUCUCCUCCUUUCUCCUAUUCCACAGUGAAUUCUUUCAGGAUCGUGGCUCAUGUUUUCUGCAUUUCCUUCUCUACCUUUCUGCUCUUCUCUCCUCCCAGAAUGCUUUCCCGAGAUGUCAAUCUGUGCAUUCCUCCCCCGGGCUGCUUAGCUCCUCUCACACCUUUCUUCUGAGCUCUGGAAUUCCUGAAGCCCUAGCUCUGACCAUUCUGCUCUUCCGCCCAUGCAUUCAGCUCAGUGUUUCCAGAAUCCCGUUCCUCACCUCUCAGCUCCUUGGCAGUGUGUUCCCGUCAGGGGUGCCUAUUUCCCCUGCACCUCCAGGGGCCAGGGCUGCGGGCUGCUCCGUGCGUUUGCCAGGCCAUGGUUGCUCUGCGAGCCCUCGGUUCUUCUGCUGCCUUUGGGGUUUGUGUGCUGAGACUGCCUGCCCCUCUCUGUGCUCCCAGCUCCCUGGUCCCCUUCCUGGGCCACAUACCGAUGCAUGACCUGCAGUGGGGAGGGGCAGGCCUGCUGCCCACCAGGGCCCUUGUGCCCCCAGAGCCUGCAGUAACUAGUUUGGCCUCAGGAAAAUGCCAUUCCCAGGCAACACUCUUAAUUCCAAGCCUGAAUGAAUCCCCUGGCGAAGCCCCCUGCACAGCCCUCCUGGUCUCUGACUUUCUUGCUCUGGUCACCCCAGCUCUGUUCCUCGGAAACGCUGAUUCCAUUUGUUUUCUGUCUGCAAGGUGUUGUUGGCCCUCUGCUGUAGCUUUAGCUUUUUUUGAUUUUUGGUUUUUCUGUGUUAUUUGGGAUGGGAUUUGACAAGAAAAACAAAUGAUGUUCCUGUAUCAUACAUCUUCCCCAAUUUAAGGAACGCCAGAAAUUGUGCAAAGUCACCAUCAACCAAUGCCAAAGCUGACUCCGGUAGAGAGCCUCCCAGUGUGGGGGUCAUGGGCACAGACAGCCCAGGCCUCCGUUCACCAGCUGAACUGAGCUUUCUGGUUGGAUCUGGAGAAAUAAGUCAGUGUAAGUAAAUACAGAUGUUGAAUAUCUGGUCACCGACACCUUACAGCAAAUUUGGUGAUGACAUGCC
RNAcentral lists this long non-coding RNA (1963 nucleotides) under Marmota monax (woodchuck). The record is from RNAcentral. Lineage: Eukaryota; Metazoa; Chordata; Mammalia; Rodentia; Sciuridae.